Molecule: ribosomal RNA, 467 nt
Filed under: uncultured bacterium
Lineage: Bacteria
Description: partial 16S ribosomal RNA
Rfam family: Bacterial small subunit ribosomal RNA
Source: RNAcentral
GACGAACGCUGGCGGCGUGCUUAACACAUGCAAGUCGAACGGAAAGGCUCCAGCUUGCUGGAGUACUCGAGUGGCGAACGGGUGAGUAACAAGUGGGUAAUCUGCCCUGCACUCUGGGAUAAGCCUGGGAAACUGGGUCUAAUACUGGAUAUGACCUUUCUCCUUAUGGGGUUUGGUGGAAAGUUUUUCGGUGUAGGAUGAGCCCGCGGCCUAUCAGCUUGUUGGUGGGGUGAUGGCCUACCAAGGCGACGACGGGUAGCCGGCCUGAGAGGGUGAUCGGCCACAUUGGGACUGAGAUACGGCCCAGACUCCUACGGGAGGCAGCAGUGGGGAAUAUUGCACAAUGGGCGGAAGCCUGAUGCAGCGACGCCGCGUGAGGGAUGACGGCCUUCGGGUUGUAAACCUCUUUCAGCAGGGACGAAGCGUAAGUGACGGUACCUGCAGAAGAAGCACCGGCUAACUACGUG